GAUGAACGCUGGCGGCGUGCUUAACACAUGCAAGUCGAACGAUGAAGCCCAGCUUGCUGGGUGGAGUAGUGGCGAACGGGUGAGUAACACGUGAGUAACCUGCCCUUAACUCUGGGAUAAGCCUGGGAAACUGGGUCUAAUACCGGAUAGGAGCGUCCACCGCAUGGGGGGUGUUGGAAAGAUUUAUCGGUUUUGGAUGGACUCGCGGCCUAUCAGCUUGUUGGUGAGGUAAUGGCUCACCAAGGCGACGACGGGUAGCCGGCCUGAGAGGGUGACCGGCCACACUGGGACUGAGACACGGCCCAGACUCCUACGGGAGGCAGCAGUGGGGAAUAUUGCACAAUGGGCGCAAGCCUGAUGCAGCGACGCCGCGUGAGGGAUGACGGCCUUCGGGUUGUAAACCUCUUUCAGUAGGGAAGAAGCGAAAGUGACGGUACCUGCAGAAGAAGCACCGGCUAACUACGUG
Molecule: ribosomal RNA, 466 nt
Filed under: uncultured bacterium
Lineage: Bacteria
Description: partial 16S ribosomal RNA
Rfam family: Bacterial small subunit ribosomal RNA
Source: RNAcentral